Molecule: ribosomal RNA, 660 nt
Filed under: Bacillus sp. SK3
Lineage: Bacteria; Bacillati; Bacillota; Bacilli; Caryophanales; Bacillaceae
Description: bacterial SSU rRNA
Rfam family: Bacterial small subunit ribosomal RNA
Source: RNAcentral
CCGGGAAACCGGACGCUAAUACCGGAUAACAUUUUGAACCGCAUGGUUCGAAAUUGAAAGGCGGCUUCGGCUGUCACUUAUGGAUGGACCCGCGUCGCAUUAGCUAGUUGGUGAGGUAACGGCUCACCAAGGCAACGAUGCGUAGCCGACCUGAGAGGGUGAUCGGCCACCCUGGGACUGAAACACGGCCCACACUCCUACGGGAGGCAGCAGUAGGGAAUNUUCCGCAAUGGACGAAAGUCUGACGGAGCAACGCCGCGUGAGUGAUGAAGGCUUUCGGGUCGUAAAACUCUGUUGUUAGGGAAGAACAAGUGCUAGUUGAAUAAGCUGGCCCCUUGACGGUACCUAACCAGAAAGCCACGGCUAACUACGUGCCAGCAGCCGCGGUAAUACGUAGGUGGCAAGCGUUAUCCGGAAUUAUUGGGCGUAAAGCGCGCGCAGGUGGUUUCUUAAUCUGAUGUGAAAGCCCACGGCUCAACCGUGGAGGGUCAUUGGAAACUGGGAGACUUGAGUGCAGAAGAGGAAAGUGGAAUUCCAUGUGUAGCGGUGAAAUGCGUAGAGAUAUGGAGGAACACCAGUGGCGAAGGCGACUUUCUGGUCUGUAACUGACACUGAGGCGCGAAAGCGUGGGGAGCAAACAGGAUUAGAUACCCUGGUAGU